GGGUCAGUAGGUUGGUCGUGCCACCGGUACGUACUGGUCUCAAUGAUUCCUCCUUCCUGAAUAACCGUAAUGCCAUUAAUUUGGUGUUGCGGGUAAACAGGACUGUUACUUUGAAAAAAUUAGAGUGUUUAAAGCAAGCUAACGCUUGAAUACAUUAGCAUGGAAUAAUGAAAUAGGACGAUCGAUCCUAUUUUGUUGGUUUCUAGGAUUGACGUA
RNAcentral lists this ribosomal RNA (216 nucleotides) under Glomeromycotina sp. Its description in RNAcentral is "partial small subunit ribosomal RNA". The stretch from base 40 to 216 matches the Rfam family "Eukaryotic small subunit ribosomal RNA", at positions 686 to 864 of the family's 1831-position model. Lineage: Eukaryota; Fungi; Glomeromycota. The record is from RNAcentral.